Molecule: non-coding RNA, 24 nt
Filed under: Arabidopsis thaliana (thale cress)
Lineage: Eukaryota; Viridiplantae; Streptophyta; Magnoliopsida; Brassicales; Brassicaceae
Source: RNAcentral
AGCCGUGAUCGGUGUCCUGUGACU